RNAcentral lists this ribosomal RNA (497 nucleotides) under uncultured bacterium. RNAcentral describes it as "partial 16S ribosomal RNA". It matches the Rfam family "Bacterial small subunit ribosomal RNA", at positions 28 to 507 of the family's 1533-position model. The record is from RNAcentral.
GAUGAACGCUGGCGGCGUGCCUAAUACAUGCAAGUCGGGCGAACGGACGAGAAGCUUGCUUCUCUGAUGUUAGCGGCGGACGGGUGAGUAACACGUGGAUAACCUACCUAUAAGACUGGGAUAACUUCGGGAAACCGGAGCUAAUACCGGAUAAUAUUUUGAACCGCAUGGUUCAAAAGUGAAAGACGGUCUUGCUGUCACUUAUAGAUGGAUCCGCGCUUCAUUAGCUAGUUGGUAAGGUAACGGCUUACCAAGGCAACGAUGCAUAGCCGACCUGAGAGGGUGAUCGGCCACACUGGAACUGAGACACGGUCCAGACUCCUACGGGAGGCAGCAGUAGGGAAUCUUACGCAAUGGGCGAAAGCCUGACGGAGCAACGCCGCGUGAGUGAUGAAGGUCUUCGGAUCGUAAAACUCUGUUAUUAGGGAAGAACAUAUGUGUAAGUAACUGUGCACAUCGUGACGGUACCUAAUCAGAAAGCCACGGCUAACUACGUG